CCGGUUGAUCCUGCCGCCGGCAGGAUCAACCGGAUUGAUACUAAGCCAUGCGAGUCAUUGUAGCAAUACAAGGCAGACGGCUCAGUAACGCGUAGUCAACCUACCCUAUGGACGGGAAUAACCUCGGGAAACUGAGUAUAAUGCCCGAUAGAACACUAUACCUGGAAUGGUUUGUGUUCCAAAUGAUUUAUUGCCGUAGGAUGGGACUGCGGCCUAUCAGUUUGUUGGUGAGGUAAUGGCCCACCAAGACUAUUACAGGUACGGGCUCUGAGAGGAGUGGCCCGGAGAUGGGUACUGAGACACGGACCCAGGCCCUAUGGGGCGCAGCAGGCGAGAAAACUUUGCAAUGUGCGAAAGCACGACAAGGUUAAUCCGAGUGGUUUCUGCUAAAGGAACCUUUUGACAGUCCUAGAAACACUGUUGAAUAAGGGGUGGGCAAGUUCUGGUGUCAGCCGCCGCGGUAAAACCAGCACCUCAAGUGGUCAGGAUGAUUAUUGGGCCUAAAGCAUCCGUAGCCGGCUCUGUAAGUUUUCGGUUAAAUCUGUACGCUUAACGUACAGGCUGCUGGGAAUACUGCAGAGCUAGGGAGUGGGAAGGUGUGGGGUACGCUCAGGGUAGGGGUAAAAUCCUGUCAUCCUAAGCGGACCACCUGUUGCGAAGGCGCCACACUAGAACGGAUCCGACGGUCAGGGACGAAGCCUAGGGGCACGAACCGGAUUAGAUACCCGGGUAGUCCUAGGUGUAAACGCUGUGGACUUGGUGUUGGGGAUUCUCCGAGGAUUCUCAGUGCCGAAGCGAAGGUGAUAAGUCCACUGCCUGGGAAGUACGGUCGCAAGGCUGAAACUUAAAGGAAUUGGCGGGGGAGCACCGCAACCUGAGGAUUGUGCGGUUUAAUUGGAUUCAACGCCGGAAAACUCACCAUAGCCGACGGACAAAUGAAGAUCAGUGUAAUGAGCUUAUCGGAUUGUUCGAGAGGUAGUGCAUGGCCGCCGUCAGUUCGUACCGUAAGGCGUUCUGUUAAGUCAGAUAACGAACGAGACCCUCAUCCCUAUUUGCUAAGGUCAGUCCGCUGAUCACAGGACUAUAGGGAGACCGCUGGCGCGAAGUCAGAGGAAGGCGAGGGCAACGGUAGGUCAGUAUGCUCCGAAUGCACUGGGCUACACGCGCAAUACAAAGGACGGGACAAUGGGCUGCUGCGCCGAAAGGCAUGAUAGCUAUCCCGAAACCUGUUCGUAGUUCGGAUUGAGGGCUGUAACUCGCCCUCAUGAAGCUGGAUUAGGUAGUAAUCGCGUCUCAAAAAGGCGCGGUGAAUAUGCCCCUGCUCCUUGCACACACCGCCCGUC
RNAcentral lists this ribosomal RNA (1343 nucleotides) under uncultured prokaryote. RNAcentral describes it as "partial 16S ribosomal RNA". It matches the Rfam family "Archaeal small subunit ribosomal RNA". The record is from RNAcentral.